This 329-nucleotide unclassified non-coding RNA is filed under the name soil metagenome. RNAcentral describes it as "partial contains 5.8S ribosomal RNA, internal transcribed spacer 2, and large subunit ribosomal RNA". The stretch from base 1 to 120 matches the Rfam family "5.8S ribosomal RNA", at positions 35 to 154 of the family's 154-position model. The record is from RNAcentral.
GAUGAAGAACGCAGCGAAAUGCGAUAAGUAAUGUGAAUUGCAGAAUUCAGUGAAUCAUCGAAUCUUUGAACGCACAUUGCGCCCUCUGGUAUUCCGGGGGGCAUGCCUGUUCGAGCGUCAUUAUAACCACUCAAGCUCUCGCUUGGUAUUGGGGUUCGCGGUUUCGCGGCCCCUAAAAUCAGUGGCGGUGCCUGUCGGCUCUACGCGUAGUAAUACUCCUCGCGAUUGAGUCCGGUAGGUCUACUUGCCAGCAACCCCUAAUUUUUUUAAGGUUGACCUCGGAUCAGGUAGGGAUACCCGCUGAACUUAAGCAUAUCAAUAAGCGGAGA